Molecule: long non-coding RNA, 1565 nt
Filed under: Homo sapiens (human)
Lineage: Eukaryota; Metazoa; Chordata; Mammalia; Primates; Hominidae
Description: long intergenic non-protein coding RNA 2052
Source: RNAcentral
GCCUCAGCAACCAACCUCCAGGGAGGGGAAAGGGGGCAGAAGUUUGAGUUAAUAACUAAUAGCUAAAGAUGUAAACAAUAAGCCUCCAUAAAACCCCAAAAGGACUGGACUGGUUUCUGAGAGCUUCCAGGUUGUUGAGCACGUGGAGGUUCUGGGAGGGUCCACACCCAGAGAAGGCAUGGAAGCUGACCCCUUCCCCAUACCUUGCUCUUUGCAUCUCUUCCAUUUGGCUGUUCCCGAGUUGUAUACUUUGUAAUAAGUGGGAUUUCCACCCAACAACAAUUCAGCCACACUGCUUCACACAUCUAGAAUCCAUCCAAAAUUGUAAAGGCUUUGUGGCACUACAGUGAAACAGGCAAGAACAUCUUCCAAACAUCCAGCACAAGAGCACACAGGAGGCCGGCAUAAUCACGAAUUGCAGCUGUCUGAAGGGCAGUCACAUAAAAGAGGAGAAGCUUCACCUUUGCUUCACAAGGCACAUCUUGAACCAGGGAUGGAAAUUACAGAGAGGCCAAAACCAGCUCGGUGUGAGCAGGACUGGUAACAGACUGGCCAAGCAACAGAAGGGGCUGCCCUGUGAAGAAGCAAGCUCUCUGUCAAUGGGAGGUGCAAGCUGAGCCUGCACUACCUUUUGUCACGGUUGCUAUGGAAAAGAUUAAGAGCCCGGGCUGCUUGAGUGUCUGCAUGACAUGGCAGCUGGCUCCCUGAAGAGCACGUGAUCCGAAAGAGAGAGCAAGACAGAAGCGCAGUGUCUUCAACAGCAUAUCUUUGAAAGUCAUAUUCCACCGUUUUCACUACAUUCUAUUGAUAAGAUAGCCCUUCCUCCUCUGGGGGCCUGGGCAUCAGCAAGUCGGAUGGCAGUGGAAGGUGGAGAAAUGGAAUCCUGCUGGGGGCUCAGGAGGCCUGCCCCCUGAUGCUGCCGUGCACUGCAGAUGUCCUUGAUGAAGAGAAUGAAUGGAAGUGCCAGAAAGCCUUUAACAUAUUGGGUCCGGUCUAGAUUUGUAAGGAAGUAUGGCUGAAUUGUUAUCGGGUGGAUACAGUUUACAUGUUUAAAGCUGUCUUUCUCAAUGGCAAAAGGGCAUACUGCUGUUAUUGUCAGUGAGGGGUCAGUAGUUUAAAUGAUGAAACUCUGGGGAUCAGCGUAAAGUAAACCAACAUACUGCAUGUAAAUUCCUCAUUCUUACUGCUGUGAGAACAAUUGUUAGGAGCCAAAAACUUCAGAGCUUUCAAAGAACUGUAAUGAGAUAGCACAAUGCAGGCAAAAAGCCAGUGUUAACGGAGCAAGAAACUUCCCAGUUCUGACAUUCACAGCAUGACCUAGAGCAUGCGGAUUCCCCUCUCUGAGUCACUGGUUUCUCACCUGCAAAAGAAAGCGGGGACAGGGAAGGAGGAAGAAGCUUCGAGAGGCUGGAACAGUUGAGGGAGCGCUGACACGGUAAAGGCCACUUUGCUCAUCAUCACCAGGCGUGCUGCCGAAAAUUUCCACUCUGUUUACUCCCAAGACCUUACUCCUACUAUGUGGAGACACAUUUGAAUAAAAAAUUGGCCUCUUUUCAAAGUCAAAA